GGGCUCGCAGGCGGUUUCUUAAGUCUGAUGUGAAAGCCCCCGGCUCAACCGGGGAGGGUCAUUGGAAACUGGGAAACUUGAGUGCAGAAGAGGAGAGUGGAAUUCCACGUGUAGCGGUGAAAUGCGUAGAGAUGUGGAGGAACACCAGUGGCGAAGGCGACUCUCUGGUCUGUAACUGACGCUGAGGAGCGAAAGCGUGGGGAGCGAACAGGAUUAGAUACCCUGGUAGUCCACGCCGUAAACGAUGAGUGCUAAGUGUUAGGGGGUUUCCGCCCCUUAGUGCUGCAGCUAACGCAUUAAGCACUCCGCCUGGGGAGUACGGUCGCAAGACUGAAACUCAAAGGAAUUGACGGGGGCCCGCACAAGCGGUGGAGCAUGUGGUUUAAUUCGAAGCAACGCGAAGAACCUUACCAGGUCUUGACAUCCUCUGACAACCCUAGAGAUAGGGCUUUCCCUUCGGGGACAGAGUGACAGGUGGUGCAUGGUUGUCGUCAGCUCGUGUCGUGAGAUGUUGGGUUAAGUCCCGCAACGAGCGCAACCCUUGAUCUUAGUUGCCAGCAUUCAGUUGGGCACUCNUAGGUGACUGCCGGUGACAAACCGGAGGAGGGUGGGGAUGACGUCAAAUCAUCAUGGCCCUUAUGACCUGGGCUACACACGUGCUAC
RNAcentral lists this ribosomal RNA (663 nucleotides) under Bacillus pumilus. Its description in RNAcentral is "bacterial SSU rRNA". It matches the Rfam family "Bacterial small subunit ribosomal RNA", at positions 565 to 1228 of the family's 1533-position model. Lineage: Bacteria; Bacillati; Bacillota; Bacilli; Caryophanales; Bacillaceae. The record is from RNAcentral.